RNAcentral lists this ribosomal RNA (2917 nucleotides) under Vibrio parahaemolyticus. RNAcentral's name for it is "23S ribosomal RNA". It matches the Rfam family "Bacterial large subunit ribosomal RNA". Lineage: Bacteria; Pseudomonadati; Pseudomonadota; Gammaproteobacteria; Vibrionales; Vibrionaceae. The record is from RNAcentral.
GUUGUAUGGUUAAGUGACUAAGCGUACACGGUGGAUGCCUUGGCAGUCAGAGGCGAUGAAAGACGUAGUAACUUGCGAUAAGCCCAGAUUAGGUAGUAACAACCAUUUGAGUCUGGGAUUUCUGAAUGGGGAAACCCACGUGCAUAAGCACGUAUCCUUACCUGAAUACAUAGGGUAAGGAGGCGAACCGGGGGAACUGAAACAUCUAAGUACCCNCGAGGAAAAGAAAUCAACCGAGAUUCCGAAAGUAGCGGCGAGCGAAAUUGGACUAGCCCUUAAGCUUUACACGCGUUAGACGAACGGUCUGGAAAGUCCGACGAUACAGGGUGAUAGUCCCGUAGUUGACGACGUGUGUUCAGUGAAAUCGAGUAGGGCGGGACACGUGAUAUCCUGUCUGAAUAUGGGGGGACCAUCCUCCAAGGCUAAAUACUACUGACUGACCGAUAGUGAACCAGUACCGUGAGGGAAAGGCGAAAAGAACCCCUGUGAGGGGAGUGAAAUAGAACCUGAAACCGUGUACGUACAAGCAGUAGGAGCAGGCUUUGUCCUGUGACUGCGUACCUUUUGUAUAAUGGGUCAGCGACUUAUAUUCAGUGGCAAGGUUAACCAUCUAGGGGAGCCGUAGGGAAACCGAGUCUUAACUGGGCGUUCAGUCUCUGGAUAUAGACCCGAAACCAGGUGAUCUAGCCAUGGGCAGGUUGAAGGUUGAGUAACAUCAACUGGAGGACCGAACCGACUAAUGUUGAAAAAUUAGCGGAUGACUUGUGGCUAGGGGUGAAAGGCCAAUCAAACCUGGAGAUAGCUGGUUCUCCCCGAAAGCUAUUUAGGUAGCGCCUCGGACGAAUACUACUGGGGGUAGAGCACUGUUAAGGCUAGGGGGUCAUCCCGACUUACCAACCCUUUGCAAACUCCGAAUACCAGUAAGUACUAUCCGGGAGACACACGGCGGGUGCUAACGUCCGUCGUGGAGAGGGAAACAACCCAGACCGCCAGCUAAGGUCCCAAAUUACUACUAAGUGGGAAACGAUGUGGGAAGGCUCAGACAGCCAGGAUGUUGGCUUAGAAGCAGCCAUCAUUUAAAGAAAGCGUAAUAGCUCACUGGUCGAGUCGGCCUGCGCGGAAGAUGUAACGGGGCUAAGUAGUAAACCGAAGCUGCGGCAAUGUGCUUUUGCACAUUGGGUAGGGGAGCGUUCUGUAAGCGGUUGAAGGUGUGUGGUAACGCAUGCUGGACGUAUCAGAAGUGCGAAUGCUGACAUGAGUAACGAUAAAGGGGGUGAAAAACCUCCUCGCCGGAAGACCAAGGGUUCCUGUCCAACGUUAAUCGGGGCAGGGUAAGUCGACCCCUAAGGCGAGGCCGAAAGGCGUAGUCGAUGGGAAACGGGUUAAUAUUCCCGUACUUCUUACAAUUGCGAUGGGGGGACGGAGAAGGCUAGGUGGGCCUGGCGACGGUUGUCCAGGUUCAAGUGCGUAGGCUUAAGAGUUAGGUAAAUCCGGCUCUUUUUAAGGCUGAGACACGACGUCGAGCACCUACGGGUGUGAAGUCAUUGAUGCCAUGCUUCCAGGAAAAGCCUCUAAGCUUCAGAUUGUAAGGAAUCGUACCCCAAACCGACACAGGUGGUCGGGUAGAGAAUACCAAGGCGCUUGAGAGAACUCGGGUGAAGGAACUAGGCAAAAUGGUACCGUAACUUCGGGAGAAGGUACGCUCUUGAUGGUGAAGUCCCUUGCGGAUGGAGCUGACGAGAGUCGCAGAUACCAGGUGGCUGCAACUGUUUAUUAAAAACACAGCACUGUGCAAAAUCGUAAGAUGACGUAUACGGUGUGACGCCUGCCCGGUGCCGGAAGGUUAAUUGAUGGGGUUAGACUUCGGUCGAAGCUCUUGAUCGAAGCCCCGGUAAACGGCGGCCGUAACUAUAACGGUCCUAAGGUAGCGAAAUUCCUUGUCGGGUAAGUUCCGACCUGCACGAAUGGCGUAAUGAUGGCCACGCUGUCUCCACCCGAGACUCAGUGAAAUUGAAAUCGCUGUGAAGAUGCAGUGUACCCGCGGCUAGACGGAAAGACCCCGUGAACCUUUACUACAGCUUGGCACUGAACAUUGACCCUACAUGUGUAGGAUAGGUGGGAGGCUUUGAAGCACGUACGCCAGUAUGUGUGGAGCCGUCCUUGAAAUACCACCCUUGUAGUGUUGAUGUUCUAACGUCGACCCCUAAUCGGGGUUGCGGACAGUGCCUGGUGGGUAGUUUGACUGGGGCGGUCUCCUCCCAAAGAGUAACGGAGGAGCACGAAGGUGGGCUAAUCACGGUUGGACAUCGUGAGGUUAGUGCAAUGGCAUAAGNCCGCUUGACUGCGAGAAUGACAAUUCGAGCAGGUGCGAAAGCAGGUCAUAGUGAUCCGGUGGUUCUGAAUGGAAGGGCCAUCGCUCAACGGAUAAAAGGUACUCCGGGGAUAACAGGCUGAUACCGCCCAAGAGUUCAUAUCGACGGCGGUGUUUGGCACCUCGAUGUCGGCUCAUCACAUCCUGGGGCUGAAGUCGGUCCCAAGGGUAUGGCUGUUCGCCAUUUAAAGUGGUACGCGAGCUGGGUUUAGAACGUCGUGAGACAGUUCGGUCCCUAUCUGCCGUGGGCGUUGGAAGAUUGAAGGGGGCUGCUCCUAGUACGAGAGGACCGGAGUGGACGAACCUCUGGUGUUCGGGUUGUGUCGCCAGACGCAUUGCCCGGUAGCUAAGUUCGGAAUCGAUAACCGCUGAAAGCAUCUAAGCGGGAAGCGAGCCCUGAGAUGAGUCUUCCCUGAUACUUUAAGUAUCCUAAAGGGUUGUCGGAGACUACGACGUUGAUAGGUCAGGUGUGUAAGUGCUGUGAGGCAUUGAGCUAACUGAUACUAAUUGCCCGUGAGGCUUAACCAUACAACACCCAAGGGGUUU